AUUUUUCAUUUAAUAAGAUAAAAUACAAAAUAUGCAUGAAAAAAGUUUCACAUCCAGGUCUAUUCUAGUGUUUUGUUCACUUUGGACUGCGUGGCUGCUAGGUGGUGUUGUCAAAUCAGGGGGGGGGUAACUGAAAUCAGUGAUCUUGACAACUAUUUUUACAAAGCUUUUAUCAACUCACUCUGUCUGUCUGGUAAAAAGUUUGUACAUGUUAUUUCUCCCACACUAAAUGUCAUAUCAAGCAGAGUUUCGCACAAUUAUCUCUUUUUACAUGCCAAAACAAGAAUCAAUAAAAAAAAAAAAAAACAAGGUUACAAAGACAGUUUGUGUGGAAACACAAAUUCAAAAUCGGCCCCCGAAAUGGUCCACCCAGGCAGGUAAAAAGGCAGGUUUCAAUAUUUUCAGAAAGAACAUCAGAAUGAAAUUCUAUCAAAGACAAAUGACAGAGAAGAAUGGAGAAAAAAGGUUGACAGAUCUUGUGUGGUGCCCCAGCAGACCAAAGGAUAGAUGAAAGUGAAUGUGAAGUUAGAUGUGAACCUGGCCUAACUGAUGUCUUAUAAUGAAUACUUAAAUGAUCUAAUUGUUUUGUAAAAGGUCAAUCUCUUAUUGAAAUCCUCAAGAAAAAAACAUUUCCUUUUAAAAAAAAAGUUACGUGUGCUAUUUCCAUAGAGCAGCGAUGCCCAAACUACGGCCCGCGGGCCAGAUGAUGCGCUUCUAUCGGGCCCGCCAAAACAUUGUAAAAAAAUGUACAAAAAAAAAUAGAAUGUUGAAAAAAAUAUUCUCACUCUUUCUUUGAAGAAUUUCAUCUUUAUGUUUAUAUUCAUAGUAAAUAUUUUUUUUUAUUCUAAGAACAGAAGUGGGUUUUUUUUCAAUAACGAUAAGACUUGGCAGCUAUUUUUAAAUGUUUGGAAAAUUCCGCUGUCUUGAGCUAGCCGUGUCCUUGACACCUUGUGUGUGCAUCACAGAGCAUCAUUGAUGCAUCAUUUUGGGUUGCAUACAUUUGAUAUCAAAGUGAUUGGUAGAUUAGUACCGUAUUGUUUAACGUUUGUGAUUUAAUGAAAUAGGAGAGCUUAAGAAACGAAAAGUGGACUCUUUAGAAACUUUCAAGAAAAGUGGACAGAUCUUUACUUUUUUGUGGAAUAUGAUAGUAAGCCAGCAUGUUUGAUUUGUAAAGAAAGUGUGGCUGUUUUUAAAGAACAAAACAUUAAAAGGCAUUGUGAAACCAAACACAUAAACACAUUUGGUGACAUUCUUUGUUUGAGCCGCGAAGACUAGAUUUCUAAGUUAUGACUAGAGAUUGGGGGAUCGACAAGAAUAUAUAUCAAAAAGAGACAAGAAAAUGAGUCUGCGAUAACAGCCAGCUACAGAGUUGCUCACAUCUUAAGUUGAGCAAUGAAGCCUUUUUUCGAUGGCAAAUGUGUAAAAAAGUGCUUGUGAUAGAGAAAUGUGUCCUGAAAAGAAGAAUGCCCCCACUUUGCGAGUACUGUGACUCUCGCCUCACCGUGGAACAUAUCCUCGUUGAUUGCCCCAGAUACCAGGAUGUCAGGGCGAAACAUUUUAGAGCCACUAAUCUAAAAACACUAUUUAAUAAUGUCGACCCUGGGAAGGUACUGGGCUUUAUUCGGGAAGUGGGGCUAUCUACGAAGAUCUGAUUUCUGAAUUUGUGAACAUGCACUAUUUACAUUAGAUUUUUACCAAAUAUUUAAAUUUUUACUACCUUUACUAUUUUAACUGUGAAUAGACCUUAAUUUUAAUUAUAUGACUGUAUAGAAUCUGGCCCUUGUUGUUUAGAGAGAGAGUAGUCCUUAAGGGACUGCAGGCACGACAUGGCCUAAAUUGUGCCGAUGUGCCUCAAAUCCAAAUCCAAAUCCCAUCAUAGAGGACCUUGCUCUUCCUUGGAAUAAAUUAGUUGGAGUGACUACUGAUGGCGCAAGAAAUAAGGUUGGAUGUCACAGCGGACUGACAGCAAGAGUUAUUAAAAAGUUGUUGAGUCAGUUGAAAACCUUUGAUUUCACUGCAUCAUUUACCAACAAAAUCUCUGUGGAAAGAUUUUGAAUCUGGAUCAUGUGAUGAUGAUUGUGCUCAGCACUGCACAUUUCAUCAAAUCACAAGAGCGUUGAAUCAUAGAACUUUCAAUGAUUUUCUGACAGAAAUAGAUUCCGAACAUGAAGACAUUCUAUUUCCCAGCGGAGUGCAGGGGAUGAGGGUCUGGUUAAGCUUAAAAAAGGUGUUAGAACGUUUUUUUUUUAAUUUGAGAAACGAAAUUUAAAUAUUUAUGACUGAAAAAUCAAAACAAGUGCCACAACUGAACGACCCCUAAUGGUUGUGGGAUUUGGCUAUUUUAUGCGACAUCACAUCACAUCUAAAUGAAAUCAACACCAUACUACAAGGGAAAUAAAUAUGUCUCCCAAAAGAAAGAAUGAUCAAUUUCUAAGGCUCUCAAUGGAUAAUUUCAGUGAAAGAUUUGUGGAUUUUCAUAAUUUAAAAAUGAAAUCCGUCUUUUUGAAAAUCCGUUUGCUGCCGAUGUGUCAAGUGCCCCGACAGAUCUCCAACUGGAACUGAUUGACUUACAAAGCCAGACAUCCCUGCUUGACAAAUUUCAAGUGAUGCAGACUAUUGACUUUUACUCUGUGUUACUUGCAGAAACUUUUCCAAAUCUUCAAAAACAAGCGCUAAGGAUGAUCACAAUGUUUACAAGCACUGAUUUGUGUGAACAAACUUUUUCACUGAUAAAAAUGGGCGAUAACCAUGUUACGUAAUCGCCUCAUGUAUGAACAUAUAGAUUCAGUGCUCCGACUUUGUGUUUCAUUUAUGCAGCAUGAUAUUCAGAAGAUGGUUUUGGAUAAACUUCAUGUAUCACAUUAAUUUAUGUAAGUAGGUCCACAAAUUAAACUAUUAAAAAUAGCUUAUUGUAUUUUUUUUUUUUUUUUGGUGAUAUGGCCUGCGACACGAAUGCCGAAAAUUAAAAUGGCCCGCAGACCAAAUAAGGUUGGGCAUCAUUACUAUAGAGCAUCACUGCAGUUCACGCGAUAAUAUGAAAAACUACUUAUUAAUUGUUGUUUUAAAUUAUGUUCAACUUAUAUGCAUACUAAAUAGAUUUUUUCUCUUUAAAAAAAGAAAACUUUUUUUUUUCUGUAAAUGUAGUAGUUAGUAUGACAGAACUUAGAUAACUUAGCAAUACAAAUGUAAUAAAAAAAAAUUUUUUCAAAAAAAAUCUAAAACCAUUUGCAUAAAUAUGUUAAAAAUAUGGUAAAUGGUCAUCCCCCCUUCUAAAGAGCCUCCCGUGUUUGUUACUAUUAAUAGUGAAUAGUUGUAAAAGUGGUGUAUUUUUAUGGAAAAACUGCUUGCAUAAGUGAUUUAAAAAAUUAGACUUUUCGCUUUCAGAAAAGAAAAAAGUAGCCGUUGUAUCAGAACUUUGAAUGGUCUAAAAUAUUAUGGUGUCAGAUUUUCACUAUCUUUUCUAGUUUACGAGAUCUAAACGGGACGGACGGAUAGACAUUCCACACUAAACUAAUAGCCUCUUUUCCCCUUUUGGGGGCCGCUAAAAAAUUAACAAAUUAGUUAAUUAAGGUGGAUUAGGAAGGGGCAUUCAAAGAGGAUAUAGUUUACAGUUUCAUAAGGGUGGGCGUAGUGUCUACAAAGGGGGAGUUGGGUGGGAUUUAUUUUGUUAAAGACCAACUGAAGAGGUUUUUAUCGAAAUUGAGAUAACUGUUGAUUAUGAUAGUAGAUGGUAUCAAAUAUAGUUCCUAAAAAUUUGAGUUAAAAGAAAUACAUAUUUAUACUAGAAAAAGUCAUUUGAAAGUGUAAAAAAAUUAACGAGAUUUGAAAUGGCUCUGUCAUGGCCGAAAGCGGAAGUGACGUUAUAGUAUGGAAAUCACGGAAAAAUGUCGAGCUCAAGACACUAGAUCUAGCCAGACCGCCUAGAGGAGUCUAGAUCUUGUUUUUUGUUAUUAAGACCAGCUUAACGUAGACAAUUUAGUCUUAUUACUAGAUUAAACCUGACAUUGGCUAAAAGAUGAUCUGACGCGUCCAACAGUGGAUGGCUGCCUGAUUGUGUGUUAUGCCAGCUGGACUGUUAUUUUAUAAGACUGUUGAGCAUCUUUUAUUUAUAAAUCUAAAAGCUGAUGCUAUGACACUCAAUGGCUUAGAAGAAAUCCUGUCAGUUUUAUAUGGUCAUGACAAUAAUCUUUAAUAAAUAAGUCUUAUACAAGGACAAUAAAGAUUAUUAUUAUUAUUA
Long non-coding RNA from Biomphalaria glabrata, 4237 nucleotides. RefSeq lists it as uncharacterized. NCBI's taxonomy places the organism in Eukaryota, Metazoa, Mollusca, Gastropoda, Planorbidae. The transcript has 2 exons. The record is from RefSeq and is a predicted model, not a curated record.